GAAGGUGUAAGCCACCGUGCUUGGCCUGUCAACUGUACUUUAAUGAAUAAGGCAUAAAACCUUAGUUUAGUGCAUAGUUGUUUACCUCCAUUACCCCUUUUCUCCAUCAAGACUACCUUGUAUUUGUUUAGGCAGCCACCUCUCAACAACCCAUGAAGUGUCUGGAGCUCCACCCUCUGCUCAAGAGGAACGGCACAUGACCCAGGCCUAUGCCAAUCAGCAUUUCACAUUCCUCAUGGUUGGUUCAAAGGUGAGCAAGUAAUUGAAAUCAGUUGUGUGACAGUAUUGGGAGGUGGUGCCUUUAAGAGAUGAUUAGAUGGUUAAGAGGGAUGAAUGCCUUACUCUUGCAGUGAGUUCUUGUUCUCUCAGUUCUGGAUUAGUUCCCAUGAGAGUGGGUUGUUAUAAAGCAAGGCUGCCUUUUGCGUUUGGUCUCUUUUGCUUGCCCGUCCACUUUUCUGCCACAGUAUAAUGUGGCAGGAGGCCCUCACCAGAUGCAGCUGCCUGAUCUUGAACGUCCUAGUCUCUAGAACUGUGAGCCUAAUAAACCUCUUUCCUUUAUAAAUUACCCAGUCUUAGGUAUAUUGUUAUAGCAACAGAAAACGGAUUAAGACAUAUGUUGUACUUGAACCUUAAUGUACUUGAACUUGAAGUUUGAUGGCUGCAGCAGCUAUAGCCAUCUUACUUCCAUGUGAAGCCUAAGAAUUAAGCAACACAUGGAAGGGAACACAUCUUUUGAGCCCCAAUUUGGCCAUGAGUUGCCCUUAGAUUUUUUUAGUUAUGUGAGCCAAUACAUUUCCUAAAACAGGUAAAAUUAUGUUUUUAGACACUGAUAACCAAAACAGGUCAAACUAUGCUUACGGCAAUUUGCUUUAAAAGAGAACUAGACAGAGAGAAUUUGUUGCCUUUUGACCAAUGCUUCCAUGAGAGAGCUGAUAUUCUGAUUCCUGACCUCAACCACUAUUUGAUUGGCAGAUGUACACUUACACACUGCAUAAUGACAUUUUGGUCAAUGAUGGGCGCUUGAGCCCAGGAGGUCAAGGCUGCAGUGAGCUGUCAUUGUGCCACUGCACUCCAAUCUAAAUGACAGAGUGAGACCCUGUCUCAAAAAAAAAAAAAAAAAAUAUCUUGGCACAGUUUGUUCUCUAUUGCUGUUUGCAGCUAACCAUACAGCCAGGCCUUCCUUUGCAGCUUUGUAUCUGGGUACACCUGUUUCCUCCUGAGACAUGAAGGUCCUUGAGGACAUUUGCUUCCUGGAGAGAAAAUUGUCACCAAAAUUAAAAAUACAAUCUAGAGGUAGCUUUCUGAAAUCAUUUUAAACAUAAAGAGAUAUGACUUAAAAAUUUUUCAUCUGAACUGUCAAUUUCCAUAAAUAGCUUAAUAUAGUGAAAAAUUGAGAGGUUCUUGAAGCCACUAAGUCUAAUAAAAAAAUGCAAUUCCAUGGGGUUUUCGGUUUUCUGCUUUUUCCUUAGGGUCCUCAAAGAUGAGGAAGGCUUUGUCUUUGUGAGAAAGCUCAUUCUAGUCACUUCAAAACAUACUGGAAAAAUAGCAUAUGAGCUAAUUUGGUUUCUGUGACAUGAUGAUUCUAUUCCCCUAUUACCUGUCACAUGAGAGCCAGUUAGGACUAAGAAAACACCAGGGUGGUUAAAUGGUAAAUUUUAUGUUAUGCAUAUUUGGCCACUGUAUAUAUUUAAAAAUUGAGGCUCUACAGGAGCUCUUGUUUAUGUGGGCUAUGCCUAUCAAUGUUUACCUUAGUAGUCAGUAAAACUGGGAUUUUUUUUUCAAAGGAACACCAUUAUGAAUAGAUGAUGCUAACAUUGGUGUAUCCACCACUCAGCUUCAGAAAUCAAACUUUACUGAUAUCCUUGAAUCCCCAUAUGUGUCCUUCCCUGAAUGCAUUCCUUUGUCCCCCAGAAGUACAGACUAUCCAGGAUUCAGUGUUUAUCAUUCCCAUGUCUUUCUUUAUGGGUUUUCUAAAUUUAGAAUAUCCCCAGAGACAGUUUAAAAUUUUUAAGCCAAUGCAGCCAUAACACAGUAUGUGUAUUAUUUUGGAACUUUUAUUGACUUGGUUCAUCCACCCCUCCAGGUGCCAUUGGUCACCCAACCCCCUCCAAAGCAGAGGGGCAGUUCUCUCUAGUACUUUAUUAGCUGCCUUGAUGUCUUGUUUCCAGUCCCUUCAGAAAUUAUGGUGGAGAUACACACAUACACAUUAAUGGAAUAAACACUCUUCCCUCCUCUCCCUUGGGGCUCCUUCCCCCAAAGAGGUCCAUUGUCCACAAGUACUCAUUUGUGGGACUCAAUAUGUUCCCAGCCACAACAGAGCAUUACAUUAGAAUAGGAGCUAACAUGUGGGAAUCAGCAUAUGUUUAGAAUUACAUCUUACACACUGAAAAAUGCACUGGAAGAGCAGCCAUUAUUGACAGAGACGGUCCUGGCUAAUAGAUCUGCCUAGUUUUAGGCUGCUUAGGGGAACAGGGGUCCUGGAAUAAGAAGCCCCACCCCCUCCUAUGAAGAGAGGAAAGCUGGAGACAAAAAGAGGAAGCAAGAGAUGAAUUGCAAAAAACUAAUCAGAUUGCAACCUCAAGGUAACAUUUUGCAUAAUAAGUUCUAACAAUGUUUUCUUGUUUAUAUCAGCCUCCUCCUCUUAGCCUGGCUUACUAGGCUGGUGUUUAAUUCCAAUGCUUCUGGGUUAAUUUAUUCAACUUUAUUAUCCUUACUAUAGUAGCCUCCCCUAGCGUUCUCCCCUACCUCUCAAAGGUCUCAUCUAAGUGUGUAUAAAGCUGUUAAAUAGAGGAGAGGAAUCAGGAUGAACUGCACAGCAUUUUCUUAAGGCCUGUGGGUUCUGGAGCCUAUGCUUCAGCAACUGAAGCUGAACUGUGUGGUUGUUGCUAACAUUGGUGUAUCCACCACUAAGCCUCAGAAAUAAAACUUUACUGAUAUCUUUGAAUCCCAUGUGUGUCCUUCCCUGAAUGCAUUGCUUUGUCACCCAGAGGUAACAGCUAU
This 3000-nucleotide long non-coding RNA is filed under the name Homo sapiens (human). RNAcentral's name for it is "non-protein coding lnc-INTS8-5:2". The record is from RNAcentral. Lineage: Eukaryota; Metazoa; Chordata; Mammalia; Primates; Hominidae.